Long non-coding RNA from Sander lucioperca (pikeperch), 105 nucleotides. RefSeq lists it as uncharacterized. NCBI's taxonomy places the organism in Eukaryota, Metazoa, Chordata, Actinopteri, Perciformes, Percidae. The record is from RefSeq and is a predicted model, not a curated record. The transcript is spliced from 3 exons.
CUGUGAGUACUGCAUGGAAGAUCAUUGGUGUUAAAGAGCACUUAUCCAUGCAGAGUAUUUAUGAACAGGCUUCUUUGCGACAAGCAAAUAGAAUUGUUAGCGACA